Molecule: ribosomal RNA, 795 nt
Filed under: Klebsiella aerogenes
Lineage: Bacteria; Pseudomonadati; Pseudomonadota; Gammaproteobacteria; Enterobacterales; Enterobacteriaceae
Description: partial 23S ribosomal RNA
Rfam family: Bacterial large subunit ribosomal RNA
Source: RNAcentral
GGGACACGUGGUAUCCUGUCUGAAUAUGGGGGGACCAUCCUCCAAGGCUAAAUACUCCUGACUGACCGAUAGUGAACCAGUACCGUGAGGGAAAGGCGAAAAGAACCCCGGCGAGGGGAGUGAAAAAGAACCUGAAACCGUGUACGUACAAGCAGUGGGAGCACCUUCGGGUGUGACUGCGUACCUUUUGUAUAAUGGGUCAGCGACUUAUAUUCUGUAGCAAGGUUAACCGUAUAGGGGAGCCGCAGGGAAACCGAGUCUUAACUGGGCGUUAAGUUGCAGGGUAUAGACCCGAAACCCGGUGAUCUAGCCAUGGGCAGGUUGAAGGUUGGGUAACACUAACUGGAGGACCGAACCGACUAAUGUUGAAAAAUUAGCGGAUGACUUGUGGCUGGGGGUGAAAGGCCAAUCAAACCGGGAGAUAGCUGGUUCUCCCCGAAAGCUAUUUAGGUAGCGCCUCGUGAAUUCAUCUUCGGGGGUAGAGCACUGUUUCGGCUAGGGGGUCAUCCCGACUUACCAACCCGAUGCAAACUACGAAUACCGAAGAAUGUUAUCACGGGAGACACACGGCGGGUGCUAACGUCCGUCGUGAAGAGGGAAACAACCCAGACCGCCAGCUAAGGUCCCAAAGUCACAGUUAAGUGGGAAACGAUGUGGGAAGGCACAGACAGCCAGGAUGUUGGCUUAGAAGCAGCCAUCAUUUAAAGAAAGCGUAAUAGCUCACUGGUCGAGUCGGCCUGCGCGGAAGAUGUAACGGGGCUAAACUGUGCACCGAAGCUGCGGCAGCGACACUUA